CCCUUAGAUGUUCUGGGCCGCACGCGCGCUACACUGAACAUAUCAGCUUGUUUUUCCCUUCCUGAGAAGGACGGGUAAACCCCUGAGCCAUGUUCAUGGUAGGGAUUGGGGCUUGCAAUUAUUCCCCACGAACCAGGAAUUCCCAGUAGGCGCGAGUCAUCAGCUCGCGUUGACUACGUCCCUGCCCUUUGUACACACCGCCCGUCGCUCCUACCGAUUGAAUGGUCCGGUGAAGUGUUCGGAUCGCGCCGACGUGGGCGGUUCGCCGCCGGCGACGUCGCGAGAAGUCCACUGAACCUUAUCAUUUAGAGGAAGGAGAAGUCGUAACA
This 329-nucleotide ribosomal RNA is filed under the name uncultured eukaryote. Its description in RNAcentral is "partial 18S ribosomal RNA". It matches the Rfam family "Eukaryotic small subunit ribosomal RNA", at positions 1470 to 1796 of the family's 1831-position model. The record is from RNAcentral.